Molecule: ribosomal RNA, 250 nt
Filed under: uncultured bacterium
Lineage: Bacteria
Description: partial 16S ribosomal RNA
Rfam family: Bacterial small subunit ribosomal RNA
Source: RNAcentral
UACGGAGGGUGCGAGCGUUGUUCGGAAUUACUGGGCGUAAAGGGCGCGUAGGCGGUAAUGUAAGUCAGACGUGAAAUCCUUCGGCUCAACUGAAGAACUGCGUCUGAAACUGCAUGACUAGAGUGCAGAAGAGGGAAACGGAAUUCCUGGUGUAGAGGUGAAAUUCGUAGAUAUCAGGAGGAACACCGGUGGCGAAGGCGGUUUCCUGGUCUGACACUGACGCUGAGGCGCGAAAGCGUGGGGAGCAAAC